Long non-coding RNA from Cygnus olor (mute swan), 355 nucleotides. RefSeq lists it as uncharacterized. Lineage: Eukaryota; Metazoa; Chordata; Aves; Anseriformes; Anatidae. The transcript has 3 exons. The record is from RefSeq and is a predicted model, not a curated record.
UAAGGAAUGGUCCAGCAAUUCGUGCCACUAAGGGAUUUGAAGGGUUAACAUUGAGGCCUGGGUUUAGGUGAGAAGAGAACAAAGGGAUUUCUUCAGAGAAAAACUGCUGACUCUGCACGGACGUGCAGUAACUUCUGACAUCCGGCCAAGAGACCACCAGAUAAGGAGGAAGAAUAUGAGCCUCCCCGUCCGAGCGGCCCCCGAGAGACUAACAGAGACUGAUAAGCAGGCGCACCUGGGAGGACUUCGGAUUCGGGAAAUCAAUUAUAAUAACCCUGCCUCUUCUAGAAGUAGUAAUGAAUAUGUAUUAGCCUAGGAGUAUAAAAAUUAGCCGAUCGGCAAGAGCGUCGAGUAG